ACCAUGGUUUCUCCUAUCUCCUUUGUCCUCGGUCCGUUGAAUCAUUUGAGAUGACAUGCUACUGUGAACAUGGUGCAAGCUGAGGGUGGAGGAAGAAUGUAAAGGCAUUUCCUUCAAUACAUGUUUUGAGUGGAAAAUUCAUCUUGUUAUCUGCCUUCUAGAGGAUCAAAUUCGGCCAGCAAUAGCCCAACUUAAAUCAAGAGUGCUAAUAUUUUGAUAAUGAAAGAGACAUCCAUGCUGGGGAGCCAUCAGCUGUCUCUGCUGGGUAACCCGUCUUCAUGGUUUGCUUGGUGUCAUUCCUGACAUUUUCUAUGGAGACUUCCAGUUGUAAGAGCUUCAGGCUUCACGGAAUGGAUGACAGAGGGAACCGACUCCUGACUAUCAGCGCGCACCAGGGAAAACACAAGCAAUGAAUGUGUUCGCAACCUCUGUCACCUCCUAUUUGCUUUACAUUUACCAUUGGUUUUAAUAAAUAGGAGCCGGGUUCC
This is a long non-coding RNA of Leopardus geoffroyi (Geoffroy's cat), 488 nucleotides long. RefSeq lists it as uncharacterized. NCBI's taxonomy places the organism in Eukaryota, Metazoa, Chordata, Mammalia, Carnivora, Felidae. The transcript has 5 exons. The record is from RefSeq and is a predicted model, not a curated record.